RNAcentral lists this long non-coding RNA (2548 nucleotides) under Salmo salar (Atlantic salmon). RNAcentral describes it as "lncRNA (ENSSSAG00000115805.1)". Lineage: Eukaryota; Metazoa; Chordata; Actinopteri; Salmoniformes; Salmonidae. The record is from RNAcentral.
CUUUGGAUAGAAAACACUCAAAAGUUUCUAAAACUGUUUGAAUGGUGUCUGUGAGUAUAACAGAACUCAAAUGGCAGGCCAAAUCCUGAGAAGAUUCUGUACAGGAAGUACCCUGUCUGACCAUUUCUUGGCCUUCUUUGUCAUCUCUAUCCAAAACAGAGGAUCUCUGCUGUAACGUGACACUUUCUAAGGCUCCCAUAGGCUCUCAGAAGGCGCCAGAACAUUGAAUGAUGACUCUGCAGUCUCUGGCUGAAAAACAGUAGCGCAUUUGGACAGUGGUCGAUCUGAGAACAAUGAGACGGGUGCGCGUGCACAUGAAGAGGCAAUUUUACAGUUUCAGUUUUUGAACGAAAACAAUGACUCCCGGUCAGAAUAUUAUCGCUAUUUUACGAGAAAAAUUGCAUAAAAUGUAUUUUAAACAGCGUUUGACAUGCUUCGAAGUACGGUAAUGGAAUAUUUUGAAAUUUUUUGUCACGAAACACGUCGGCGCGUCACCCUUCGUUACCCUUCGGAUAGUGUCUUGAACGCACAAACAAAACGCCGCUAUUUGGAUAUAACUAUGGAUUAUUUGGAACCAAACCAACAUUUGUUGUUGAAGUAGAAGUCCUGGGAGUGCAUUCUGACGAAGAACAGCAAAGGACCUGAGCCCUAGGACCAUGCCUCAGGACUACCUGGCAUGAUGACUCCUUGCUGUCCCCAGUCCACCUGGCCGUGCUGCUGCUCCAGUUUCAACUGUUCUGCCUGCGGCUAUGGAACCCUGACCUGUUCACCGGACGUGCUUGUUGCACCCUCGACAACUACUAUGAUUAUUAUUAUUUGACCAUGCUGGUCAUUUAUGAACAUUUUAACAUCUUGACCAUGUUCUGUUAUAAUAUCCACCUGGCACAGCCAGAAGAGGACUGGCCACCCCUCAUAGCCUGGUUCCUCUCUAGGUUUCUUCCUAGGUUUUUGGCCUUUAUAGGGAGUUUUUCCUAGGGAGUUUUUCCUAGCUACCGUGCUUCUUUCACAUGCAUUGCUUGCUGUUUGGGGUUUUAGGCUGGGUUUCUGUACAGCACUUUGAGAUAUCAGAUGCUGUACGAAGGGCUAUAUAAAUACAUUUGAUUUGAUUAGAUUUUUUACCCAGAUUCAAAAGAUUUGCAGCCGCCUUGAUGCUGUAUUGAACUUCCUCAGCAGUCUCUUGUUCCACUCCCUACGGAAUUUGCUUGUAAGAUCCCUCUCAAAUGUCAGUUGAAUCAGCUGCCUUUUCCUCUUGUGCAACAUGCUCCGUCUGUGCUUACUGAAUACAAAAUGCUCUGCAUAACGUUAGUCCAUUUUUCUUCUCCAGAUCGGGCGAUUUCAGUCUGGAGAAACUGCCGUGCGACAGUAAACUCAGAUUCCACAAAAUCUCCUGAGAUUAAGUCAGGCAGUGGUUUCACAUUGUCCACAUCCAUAAAGGUUUCAUUCUCUGGGUGCAAGGCACACAGGGACUCAACAAGUUGGCUGUUUCGUUCGUUAAAUCUUGCUGACAUUUCUCCUAGUCCAGCAUCCAGAGUGCUGAAAAAAAGUUUUUUGCACUCCCUCUCAUUAUCCUCUUCUUGCUGGCCCAUUGUUGUUUCGACCACAUGUUCUUUCAGAUUACGACUCACUACUCUGCCGUUUGCUUGGAGCGGGGUGUCCGAGUGCUUGUAUUUCCUUGCAGGAAUAUUCCAGCCACUCUCUGUCUUUGAGCCACGCGCUACAAAAUGCCAGUUGCAGGCCCCACGUCGGGUUGGUUACCUCCUAUGUCACCAGGCUGCAGACCGUUGUGCAGGUGCCUUUGCUGUUGGACUCGACAGCCUUGGCCUAGGUGAUUAUCGUCGGUUUAGCGGCCUUGGCCUCUGUGGCAGGCUUCUCCCCCUCCCCGCCGCUUUGAUCCGAUGCUGCCGUUGUGCCCUGGCGAAGCAAACUUUCUAAUAUCCAUCAUGCUAUCAGCUACCUACCUAACAGUUAACGUUAGCUAAAAAAAAUGUGGUAGUACAUAACCUAAAUGAUCAAAUUGACCCUGCCCUUCUACUGUGAAGGCCAACUGGUAAAAUGUGCGUACGUAUGAUGCAUGGAAGGCUUCCUCUGAUUCAGAAUCUAUAGAGCAUUUAUUUUUUUCAUGCCACCAUUCUAGUAAACCAUGGAUUGAAAUUCAUGAUCGGUUGUGUAUAAAGAAUUACAUAUCUUUUCCUUUGAAGAUGUUAAAUGACAUUAUGCUUAUCCUUGUAAUUCCCAUCAUAACUAUUUUAUUAACAUUAUUACUCUCUUGGCCAAAUAGUAUAUUCACAAAUGUAAAUGGGGUGGAAAAAUUACAUACUUUUUUGUUAUUUUCAUUGGACUGUUACAAUUUUAUAAAUCCCUCAAACUUCUGAAACGUAAAAAGUUGGAAAAAUUAUUAGAAGUCAUGUCUCUGAAUGUCUAUUAAUGCCUCAUUACCUUGUCAAAUAUUAAUGAUGUCCUGAAUUAUUCUUUUUUUUUGGGGGGGGGGGGGGUCGCCUGAUGUUCUAUUAUCUCAUUUUUUUCAUUGUAUUCACAGGAAUGUCCCUGC